UUCUAUGCACACCACCCAAGGUGCCAUCUGAUGUCGCCACCCUUUAGAAAUUAGCGUGGAAUAAUGAAGAGAUAGGAAGGUAAUAAAGAGUUUCAAAUAAGAUGGACUCUUCCAAUCUCAUCGCACAAAAUAUAUGGCAUCCCAUUUAUUUUUUGAUGUGUGAGUUCCUUCACAAAGAAGGACUCUUCCUUCUCUUCUGUGCCCACAUAUCCCAAGGUGCCAUCUGAUGGCACAAAAAACAAAAGAUAGCAUGGAAAAAAGGAAGGAAAUUUAAGAGGAGUAAAUCAGAAGGACUCCUUCUUAAUGCUAAAAUAAAUGGGGUGUGGUCCUUUUAUUUCUUGCAUGUGGUGGCAUGGAGGAAUUCAAAGAUGAAAUAUUUUCAAAAUAAAUUAGUUAAGCCAUCUCAUGUCUUAAGAAUUGAACCUAAUCUCAUUGGGUCAAGGCAACAAGUCAAGACUUAGCACAAACAUCUUUGCACUAAAUCUAAUUGGAAACUUGAGUU
This 502-nucleotide long non-coding RNA is filed under the name Elaeis guineensis (African oil palm). RNAcentral's name for it is "long non-coding RNA (EGUI_LNC037526)". The record is from RNAcentral. Lineage: Eukaryota; Viridiplantae; Streptophyta; Magnoliopsida; Arecales; Arecaceae.